Molecule: non-coding RNA, 21 nt
Filed under: Arabidopsis thaliana (thale cress)
Lineage: Eukaryota; Viridiplantae; Streptophyta; Magnoliopsida; Brassicales; Brassicaceae
Source: RNAcentral
UGAGAAUAUUUUCAGGAUAUG